UGUUAAGUAUGAAUACUCUUUUAAGUUUUAUCAGUUAAGCGUGAAGAGUAUAGACUCUUGAAUACUCCUUAUCUAUCUCACAAUGUAUUUAAAGUAUCAUAUCCGAUUUACACUAUUAUUUUCAGUUUUCUAUGCAUUUGUGAUCCACCUUGUUUGUUGACCUGCUCCGUUCUUUUUUUUAGUGUUCAUUCCUCUGUUUUUCAUCAUNNNN
RNAcentral lists this long non-coding RNA (211 nucleotides) under Solanum tuberosum (potato). Its description in RNAcentral is "long non-coding RNA (STUB_LNC001152)". The record is from RNAcentral. Lineage: Eukaryota; Viridiplantae; Streptophyta; Magnoliopsida; Solanales; Solanaceae.